ACAACAUAUAGGGAAAACGAGACCAGAAUAGCACAAGUUAAUAAGAAGGUAAACUCCUGAUGAAAAUAUUAAUGAAAUUGCAUCUGGUGUCUUUUGAUCACAUGGCGAUCAAAUUAUGCAUCACACAGUAAUAUUUUUACAAUAAUCCCGCAUCAGAAGAUUUGAUCCCUUAUUACAAAAUUGACAUCUAGCCAUCCGGCGUUCACUACUGCUGGAAAAUAACGAGCAGGUGCAUGCUCCAUGGCGUUCACAUCGACGGAACGGUCCGGCGGUAUCUUUGAUAUGAUAUAUGUAUGCAUGUAUGGAUGUAUGUAUAGGAGUUAAGCGAUGGGAUGGGAGAUUAAUUUACAGCUCCCAUGUGUCGAACUUGCCAGAGACGAAGUCGUACUGGCCGCCGACCUGCUUGAGGGCUCCGUGGCCACAGCCUCCUUGACGAACGUGCAUGUAAGUGUUGAAGUUCUGGAUGGACACGUUGACCGCCUCCUGUGGAAAUGAAACAGCUAUAGUAACGAACCGUGCUACAGUGCCAUGAGCACUACAGUGAGCUACUAGUGAGAUAUCGAGCUGACUGUGCGUAUUGGUCACUAUUUGUCGCAACCAGCAACAAGUAGGGGGCCAAAUCCUAUUUGGCACCCUCUGCAUCAGUUACAUGCUUACAACCCCUUCCACCCAGCGACGCAUACCCCCCUUCGUCCUGCCCUCGUCCAAUUUAUUUACUUACGAGUUUUCUUCUCUAUGUUUGCAGCAUACACCCUACGUUUGUGGGCCACUCGUAUAGCCCGGUUUUGGGAAGCUUCUAAUUGCUUUUCAGUCCGGUUUUCUUUCUAUUUUUCGUUUGGUUUCCUUCUGGUUUUGUUUUAUUAUUGUUUUUAAUUUUUUUAUUUAUUUUAUUAAUUUCUAUAAACAUUUUAAUGUGCGUUACUUUCUUGUUCAAAUAUGUGUAAUUUUUCAAAUGCUUGAACUUUUUAUUUUCCUUUUUUUGCAAUUUGUUUUUCAAAUUCAUGAACCCUUUUCAAAUCCAGAAUAUGUUUUAAAAUUUUAUGACAUUUAUUCGAAUUUGUGAAAUGUUUUCUGUACUCGUGACCUUUUUCGAAUUUGUUAACAUUUUUUUGAAGUCGUGAACAUUUUCAAAUUCUUGAACUUUUUUCCGAACUUGUGAACUUUUUUGAAUUAAUGAACUUUUCUAAAAUAUAGUAACUUUUUCCAAUUCUGUAAAAAAAGUCAAAUCAACAAAAAUAUUGUUUCACAAACCUAUUCCAAAUUUGUGAAGAUUUGUUAAAUUCGUGAUCAUUUCUCAAGUUCGUGAAAAUCUCUCAAGUUCGCGAACAAUUCCGUGAGCUCUUGCCAAAUUCAUGAACUUUUCUUGAAAUCCUGUGUAUUUCUCGGAGUUGGGAUCUUUUUUGAAAUUCAAUAUUUUCUAAAAUUUAUGAUUUUUUCCAAUUCUUGAACAUUUCUCAAGUUCAUGAACUUUUUGCUAAACCAUGAGUUUUUAAGAAUUCAUGAACUUUUAGAAAUUUAUUAAAUUUUCUAUUUAAUCUUGUGAUUUUUUGGACUUUUUCAAAAGAUAAUGGUUGACUGGUAAGGUUCUCGACUUGUCACCACAUCAAAUGAAAGAGGCGAGUGAGCGAUCUCACGUUGUUGGGCUGUCCCCACGAGCACCCAAUAAGAGCUGAUGUGGAGGGGAGCUCUUAUUAGUAGCUUCAGGCACAAAAAGGUUCCUUGGCACUCAUUACCUUCAUUCCUGGGCUAUGGCCCAACAAUGCCGCUGCAACGGAACAAAACGCGAGCGGGUCGACCGUUCCCCUCGCUUUAGAUCUCUUGCUAGUUGAUUGGUGGACCAGUUGAUUUUUAAAAAACAUAUGUUUUGGACAAAAAAUCAUAAAAAAUCACUUUGAAAAAAUUUCAUGCAUUUUGAAAAGUAGAGAAAAUCUUCAUCAAUUUUGAAAAUGUUCACAAUUUUGAAAAAAAUAUCGUCGAAUUUGAAUUAAAGUUCAGCAAUUUUGAAAAAAAAAGUUCAUCAAUUUGAAAUAAGUUCAUCGAAUUUGAAAGGAAAAGCUCAUCAAUUUUUGGAAAAAUAAUAAUCGAUUUUGAAGUAAAAUUUCACGAAUUUGAAAAAAGUUCAACGAACUAGGAAGAAUAAAAUGAAAAAGGGAAAGGGGAAAAGGAAAAGGAAAAAAGAAAAACGAAAACGAAAAGUAGAAAGAAGAAAAGAUGUAAAUUAUACUAAUCAGGCAACUUAAGCUAGACAUGAGUGAUGGGCCAAGAGACAUAGACCUAUCCCCUUGUUGAGUUGGAGAUUGACCGUCGCAUGGUUGAUGGCUCGCCAUCGUUCGACCACCUGUGACUAGCCCACGUGUCAUGGCCUCUGUCCCACUACCCUUGGACAACCCGACUACUCCCAUAUCCUCGCCAAUGGUUGGCUCCCGUAGGGCGAGUGUGACAGUUUUACAUUGGUCUUGAUUCAAAAAUCACAUAAUGGGGUCAGUGAGGUGCACAACGUGGGAAGGAAGGGCAUCUAGUCACUUUCACAGUUUAUCACACAUGUCAAUGAUGGCGGGGAUCUACAUCCAGUCUGACAUUGGAGUACUCUAACAAAUCCACCAUAUGUUACUUCAUCACGAUGAAUGUAAGAUGGUGGUGUGUGCAAUCCCAUUUUAGCUCUUCCUAUAGAACUUGAAGGGGGAUUAGCGUCGACAAAGGAGGACUAGCCACGGAGUUGCUGGAACAUUAUAAAAAGGAAUAUCGCUUGAUUCUCCCAGAAGCAAUGGUGGUGUGCAUUGUCUUGCCCUGAUGGCUCUCAUGCUGAGUUAUGAUAUAUGCGAGAUAAGCUUAGUCUCUUCAUCUUGGCAGCUCAUUGAUCGUCCACUCAAAAUGAGGAUACAAUUUUGAUUUACAUCACCAUACUUGAACUUACGACACGAUACAAGUGGUAAGUUAGCACUUCAAGGGUGGAAAGAAAGAUUGCCUUGCUUAAAUAAAGAAAGCGAAAGGACGUGUUGUGUAGAAAUUCAGGUGGUAGCAUUGAAACUCGAAGAAAGCACAAUGAUUGGGUUGAAUAAAUCGUGAUAAAAAGAGGACAUGUUAGCAAUGGAGAGUCAAUAGAAGUCAAGUAGCAACAUUGAGGUUAUAUAAGUUGAAGUGCUAAAUUUUCCGCACUUGUAGAUGUCACCAAUACCAUUCUGGUAUACACCAACACGUAACACAUAUUGUCACAUGCCCAAAUAUGUGGAGCUCUCCGGUGAUGCCACAUGGCCAAUGAAUUUUUGCAAAACGGCCCCUCAAACUUACCCUAAUCGAAUGAGGGGCAGUGUUCGAGCUUGAGACUUCAACUAUGUGGGUGCACGAGCUAAUCACUCGACCAGAAAGUGCUUUGCAAUUCACAUAGAGGUAGAUAUUUGCUCAUAGUAUAAAUAUUGACAUUAAACAUUGAAAAUGACACUUGUUCAAACUAAACGCACUAAAUUAACAUGGAAACAAAGCACUAAACAUUGAGCUUGCAAACUACAUAGACAACACUAACACAAAGCAAACACUUAUCGACUAAACCGAUAACACUAAAUACUAAUAAUCUCAACCAAACACUCCUUCUUCUUGGAGGAUAUUCUCAUAAAAACAACAGCAAGAUGAAAUAUAGUUUGGUCACAUAAUAACGACAAAAACAAAGUUCUAGUACAUGGUCAUCAUUAUAACUUGAUCACCGAGUUAAUAUGAUCAGUCCAUGUUCUUGGCCAUACAAAAGAUAUCCACAAAAUACAUCAAGUUAAUAUAUAUGAUCUACCAUACACUACACAUGUUCACAAAGUACAUCAAUAGGAUAACACAAUACAAUAACAUCAAGCAACUCACUAUAAGCGAAUAUCAAACAUCAUAGGACAACAACACAAGAGAGCCUGGAUGAGCUCUCACACUCAUGUUUCUUCAGUAUAUCCUCAGCUUCUAUUUUGCAUUUUAGAUGGCGUGUCUCUUCUUUAAAAGUUCUCUUGGCAACUAUUGAUGGAUGCCAUCAUCGUGAACGCUAAACAAAAAUCAUGCUUGGGUCGCAACAAAGCAUUCGGUUCAGUAGACAAUCACAAAUAAACAAACUAAAUACUAACAAAACAAUGUUACUAAUAUGGGGCAAUCAAGGAUCAUUGACUUGGUCAAUCCAGCAAGAAAUAUAGCCUCCACCAAAGCUCUCUGUUUGUAUACAGAAGAUUUGAAUCGUGCAGCUUGACCAUCUUCUAACAUAGCCGGCUGUCACCGACAGCAACACCCCCGUUGAUCCAAAAUGCAAAGGGGGAUCAAGUGAGUUUCUAGGUUUUGAAAUUUGGAGGGGAAAGGAAUAUCCAAUUUUACUCUCGCGCUCUAUGAUUUUACCUCUAUGAGAGAGCCACACGAGAUGCCUCGAAGGGCGGUCGAGGGAUUAUGAAAGUUUGAGGGGCUGUUUUGCAGAAAUGCAGUGCCCACGUGACAACACCGGAGAUCCCCAAUGUAUCUAGGACCAUAACUGGGACUAUAUGUGCUACACAUUGGUGUAUACCGGAACAAUAUUGCGGCAUCUUUCAAGUCCAGGGAUGGUUGUGUUAUGCGCCAAUAAGUUAAUACACCAAGUGUAUAAUUUACUCUAAGUUAGCACUCCAAGGGUGGAAAGAAAGAAUGCCUUGUAUAAAUAAAGAAAGUGGAAGGAUCACAUGUUGUGUAGAAAGAGGUGGUAGCAUUGAAAGUUGAAGGUACUACAAUGAUUUGGCCAAAUUAAUCAAGAUAAAAAAUGACAUGUUAGCAAUGAAGAGGUAAUAAGAAGUCAAAUGAACAACAAAGUCGAGCUUGCGCGUGGGAAAUCCUUGUGAGAAAAACCUUGGGCACAUAUAGUGGCUAUCUUCACGAUACUGGGAGAUAUAUUUACAAAUGAAGGGGACACACUAUAUGAGAUGCAAAAUCAUCCUAUAGGGUUUAUAAGUGUUAUAAAUAAAGUGAUGCCAGUCUUUGCGAGUUGAAAACCUAAUCCCUCCAGCAUAACGAAUUCGGAUAUGACAAAACACGGCCUCUCAUCAUAAUGAUAUGGAUCAUACAUAAUAAGAUAUGAGGGUGCAAAACGAAAAUGACGUGAAUCAGAGAGAAAUAAUGCUUGAACAAGCAAUGCAUUAAGCACACACUAAGCCAACAAAUGUUAAGACUAAGUACUCCGUGUUGGGAUGGAAUGUGUGGAUCACAAAACAUUAUCUGAUUAGGUACAGAGAAUGCGAAUUAAAUAGCGAUGAUCAAGGCUUUUGCGUAACCAUGGCACUACAAACAUGGCAAUUUGGAGCGCUUUGCCGAGAUUCCAAUACCAUGUGUUGAAUUUAAGGUAGCUUUCAAACUCAAGGGGCCUAGACAUCUGAUCCGGCUUGUUGCACAUUUAGCUGGUAUUAUUACCAUUUAAAGGGUUGUUCCCCUUCAUUCACGAUGCAAGCAAAUAGAACACACUUCUGUAAGCAUUCAACAACAUAUGUGCUGGAAUAUGUUUGGCAAUGUCUUCCAUGACACGUGAAUCGAUUAUAAAAUCUAUGGUAAAUCAAUAAUCAACAUCUUUUCUAUGAUCAUGACUUUACCAAAAGAGAUGAUGAUUUCGGUAGCUUUAUUGAGUUCUGGGCCCCCUAAUUUUUCAAGUACUACCCUCUUCGUCCUAAAAUAGGUGUCUCAAUUUUCUACUAACUUUAGUACAAAGUUGAGACGUUUAUUUUGGGAUGGAGGGGGUAUUAGUGACUAAGCGAGUCACGGCCCAACUUGCUGAUCUGAGCCCACGGCCUAGUUAUGUGAUAGUCUCACCAUCACGGUACUGGAAGUAGUUUGCAUACAUGUGCACGCACACACACAUCAUAUCCGGCUCAGUUGNNNNNNNNNNNNNNNNNNNNNNNNNNNNNNNNNNNNNNNNNNNNNNNNNNNNNNNNNNNNNNNNNNNNNNNNNNNNNNNNNNNNNNNNNNNNNNNNNNNNNNNNNNNNNNNNNNNNNNNNNNNNNNNNNNNNNNNNNNNNNNNNNNNNNNNNNNNNNNNNNNNNNNNNNNNNNNNNNNNNNNNNNNNNNNNNNNNNNNNNNNNNNNNNNNNNNNNNNNNNNNNNNNNNNNNNNNNNNNNNNNNNNNNNNNNNNNNNNNNNNNNNNNNNNNNNNNNNNNNNNNNNNNNNNNNNNNNNNNNNNNNNNNNNNNNNNNNNNNNNNNNNNNNNNNNNNNNNNNNNNNNNNNNNNNNNNNNNNNNNNNNNNNNNNNNNNNNNNNNNNNNNNNNNNNNNNNNNNNNNNNNNNNNNNNNNNNNNNNNNNNNNNNNNNNNNNNNNNNNNNNNNNNNNNNNNNNNNCGUCAGCGGCAAAUCAAACCACUGCAACUUAAUCCUUGGUCUCCUAGUCUCCUCUCUUGAUUCUUCUCUAGUGGAUUAACAAUUUCUCGGAAAGAGAGCAUUGAUGGCUAUGAACUGCUGGUUCAUUGCUGCUAUGGUGCUAACUCAAACUUAUAAAUUGGGUGUAUUUUAUCGAUUCUUCAUUCUCUCUUUCAUCCCUCCAGAGCAGAUCAACAGUAGUUUCCAUUCGUUCUCUUUGUCGAGGAGCAGAGCCAUCGGGGCCCAAUACACCAUCGUUGCUUCAUGGUCUGCAUCCCUCAAUACUAAACAGUCGUAGGUUCUUAUGUCCCUUUUUGUUUUGUACUCCUCUGUUCAUAAGUCAACCUGCUGCUCUUUCAUGAAUUUUUGCAUCUAGCAUUAUAAUUUUCUGAGAUGUCUAACAAACAUAGGCACAAUUCUAAGAUUAUAAGAUAUAAGUUAAUAGUUCAAAGUAAUAAAGAUUUAUUUUGUCAUGAUAUUUUUCUUUGAGAUUUCGCAAUGGUUAGUUGAAAAUAUUUAGUUUGUUUUUUUGUAUGUGGGGUCUAAAUUGUGAUUUCGCACCGGGUUUCCAAUAAAGCAGCCCUGCGGGUUUCCUCGAUAAGGGGGCAUAAGUGCCACUCUUACCCGAUCCGAAGUCUUACACUUACACGCCGAGUAUCCCUACUAGGAGAGAAAGGCCACUACCAUGGCUCUAUAACAGUGUUCAAGGCCCCGACAGGGGAACCAAACAAUCACGAACAACCGAGACUGUAAUUAUCAUGGUGUGCAUUUCCUAGAUCGUCCCCCAUAGCCCAUCGAGUUGCUUAUCAGCUCGUUGGAUCCAUCCUGUGUAACUCGGAUUGCACUAUAUCCCAAUUAAACAUGGGCAUACCGGAGAUGUUGGGGAGACUACGGAGAUGUUGUGAUUGCGAGAGUCGGGCUUCAUGCGGGGGAGACUACGGAGAUGUUGCGCCGGGUAGUUCACCGGCGAACGGCGGCGGCAGCGGCGGCGGCGGUCCGACCCUUGAAGGGUCCAUUGCCUAAGGUAUGUCUCCCGAAUUUAACUCUUUUUGAUUUGAUUCGGCCGGAUUCCUGGACUUUGGUGAAGAGACGAAAGAAUGCACAUCGGAAAAGCUCUAGAUCGGCGCCGGAGGUGACCGCGGCGGUGUUGCCAGCGGUCACGGCGAUCCAGAUCUGCGACGCUCGCCAGGAGCGUUUGAAUCAGCCCCUGGGCCGAGCCGAGCCGACAGUUAUUGGGCCGGUUGGUGUUAUUGGGCCGGGGUCCGGUGGGUAUGAGGCCCAGCCGGAACCGGUUUCGAUCAACACUAACGAAAGGGGCGCAUGCACGUACCGAUCAUCGUCGCUUCCUACGUCGCUGCGCCCUAGGGUUCUGGUUCGACGAGCGCCGCGGCUGCGUAUGGCGGGACCUGGUCGGGCUCGCCGCAUCCUUCCUCUCGGAGUGAUGGCUGGUCCUGGUGGUGCGCCUCCUGGAAAGAGGCCGCCUCCGCCUACCGGGGCAAGUCGUGCCAGUGGGGUGCUGCCGCAGGGUCAGGGCAUUGGCCGGGCCGCGCUGCCGGCGUCGGUGUCGGGUGCUGGGCGUGGCGGCAUGGCGCCCCCCAAGGCCGCUGAGGGUUGCAGGUCGGGUGGCCCUGGUGCGAUGCACUUUGCCGGCGGGGCGAGCGCUGGGAGGCUGCCGGCGCUGGUCUUGCCGUCGGCCAGGCGAGGCGGACCGGCCUCCGGUCUUCGGCCGGUGGCUUCCAACGGUGCUGCGAUGGCCGCUGCGGGCCGGGGGGCUGCGCCCCCAAGGCCGCCUUCUUCGGGUCCGUAGCAGUCCAACGUUGGUGGUACUGUGGCUGCGCCCCGGGGACAAUGGGGGGAUGACGGCUACGAUGCCUAUGGGGCUGGCCAGCACCGUGGUUCUUCGUCCACGGGUGGAGGUCGUGGUUAUGCGUGGCAAAGCGACGGUUCGGCUGACAGGCCGUUCUUGGGUCCUUCAGGUGGCUUCGUUGAGGGGCCUUCUGGUCUGGGCAAUCGGCAGCGGGGAGGCUUCUGUGGCCAUCGUGGUGGUCGGGGCGGUCGAGGGGGUCGGUACCGUCCAUGACAACCGCCCCCACCUGUUGUCGAGAGCAUCAUAAAACACGUGAUAAACACAUCUAAGUCUAACAUACUUCCUAUGCAUAGGCAUCUUAUAGGCAAACAAAUUAUCAAGGCAAGGAAAAACUAGCAUAUGCAAGGAGGCGGAAAGAAACAAUAGCAAUCUCAACAUAACGAGAGGUAGAUUAUUAUCAUGAAAAUUUCUACGACCAUAUUUUCCUCUCUCAUAAUAAUUACAUGUGGGAUCAUAAGCAAAUUCAACAAAAUAGCUAUCACAUAAAAUAUUUUCAACACGAUCCACAUGCAUGCAAAGUUGACACUCUUCCGAAAUAGUGGGAUUAACAUUAACUAAAGUCAUGACCUCUCCAAACCCACUUUUAUAAAAAAAAUCAUAAGAUUGAAUAUUCUCCAAAUAUGUGGGAUCUAGAGUUGACACUCUUCCAAACCCACUUUCAAUAUUAUUGCAAACAAUAUUAUCAAUCUCAUAUUCAUCAUGGGGAUUAAAUAAAUUUUCAAGAUCAUAAGAAGAAUCACCCCAAUCAUGAUCAUUGCAACAAGUGGUGGACAUAGCAAAAUUAGCAUCCCCAAGCUUAGGGUUUUGCAUAUUAUUGGCACAAUUGACAUCAAUAGAAUUUAUAAUAAAAUCAUUGCAAUCAUGUUUUUUAUUCAAAGAUUUGUCGUGAAUUGCUUCAUAAAGUACUUCAUUACAAUUUUCAGAUUCACGAAUUUCAAGCAAAACCUCAUAAAGAUAAUCUAGUGCACUCAACUCACUAGCAAUAGGUUCAACAUAAUUGGAUCUCUUAAAGAGAUUAGCAAGUGGAUGAGGAUCCAUAAACUUUUAGCAAGCGAAUAUGCAAGCAAAAAGAAGGCACAUGGAGACACAAGCAAACAAGAGACAAGCGAAAAAGAGGAGGAGAUUGGGAAAGAGAGGGUGAAUAAAACGGCAAGGGUGAAGUGGGGGAGAGGAAAACAAGAGGCAAAUAAUGUAAUGCGAGAGAUAGGGAUUGUGAUGGGUACUUGGUGUGGUUGACUUUUGUGCAAACUCCCCAGCAACGGCGCCAGAAAUUCUUCUUGCUACCUCUUGAGCACUGCGUUGGAUUUCCCCGAAGAGAAGAGGAUGAUGCAGUAAAGUAGCACAAGUAUUUCUCUUAGUUUUUGAGAACCAAGGUAUCAAUCCAGUAGGAGAUCACGCACGAGUCCCUCGUAGCUACACAAAACGAUAGCUACUCGCAACCAACGCGAUUAGGGGUUGUCAAUCCCUUCACGGUCAUUUUUGAGGGUGAGAUCUGAUAGAGAUGAUAAAUAAUAUUUUUGGUAUUUUUAAUAUAGAGAUGCAAAGUAAAAAGUAAAAAGCAAAGUAAAAACAAAGCAAGUAAAUAAAGUAGUGGAGAUUGAUAUGAUGAGAAUAGACCCGGGGGCCAUAGGUUUCACUAGUGGCUUCUCUCAAGAGCAUAAGUAUUCUAUGGUGGGUGAACAAAUUACUAUUGAGCAAUUGAUAAAAAAGCGAAUAAUUAUGAGAUUAUCUAGGUAUGAUCAUGUAUAUAGGCAUCACGUCCAAGACAAGUAGAUAGAAACGAUUCUGCAUCUACUACUAUUACUCCACUCAUCGACUGCUAUCUAGCAUGCAUCUAGAGUAUUAAGUAAAACAGAGUAACGCCUUAAGCAAGAUGACAUGAUGUAGAGGGAUAAAUUCAUGCAAUAUGAUAAAAACCCCAUCUUGUUAUCCUCGAUGGCAACAAUACAAUACGUGCCUUGCAACCCUUUCUGUCACUGGGUAAGGACACCGCAAGAUUGAACCCAAAGCUAAACACUUCUCCCAUUGCAAGAACUACCAAUCUAGUUGGCCAAACCAAACGGAUAAUUCGAAGAGACUUGUAAAGAUAACUCAAUCAUACAUAAAAGAAUUCAGAGAAGAAUCAAAUAUUGUUCAUAGAUAAGUUGGAUCAUAAACCCACAAUUCAUCGGUCUCAACAAACACACCGCAAAAAGAAGAUUACAUCGAAUAGAUCUCCACAAGAGAGGGAGAGAAUAUUGUAUUGAGAUCCAAAAAGAGAGAAGAAGCCAUCUAGCUAAUAACUAUGGACCCGAAGGUCUGAAGUAAACUACUCACACUUCAUCAGAGAGGCUAUGGUGUUGAUGUAGAAGCCCUCCGUGGUAGAUGCCCUCUCCGGCGGAGCUCUGGAACAGGCCCCAAGAUGGGAUCUCGCGGAUACAGAAGGUUGCGGCGGUGGAAUUAGGUUUUUGGCUCCUGUUCUGAUAUGACGGGGGUACGUAGGUAUAUAUAGGAGGAAGGAGUACGUCGGUGGAGCAACAUGGGGCCCACGAGGCAGGGGGCGCCCUCCACCUUCGUGACCGCCUCUGGCACUUCUUGGAGUAGGGUCCAAGUCUCCUGGAUCACGUUCGGUGAGGAAACCACGUUCCCGGAGGUUUUAUUCCGUUUGGACUCCGUUUGAUAUUCUGUUUCUUCGAAAUACUGAAAUAGGCAAAAAACAGCAAUUCUGGGCUGGGCCUCCGAUUAAUAGGUUAGUCCCAAAAAUAAUAUGAAAGUGGAAAAUAAAGCCCAAUAUAGUCCAAAACAGUAGGUAAAGUAGCAUGGAGCAAUCAAAAAUUAUAGAUACGUUGGAGAUGUAUCAGACAUCUCCUCCCCUGUCGCGUCUACCUCUCUGCUGGUGGCGACUGUGCCAUUGGGAGGGGGCUCGAGGCAGGUGUCCUCGGAGCCCUCUUCUCCUGAGGCGCCUAUGGUGGUGGCCUCUCCGGUGCUGGGUGGGCAGUUCGGGCAGGUGGCCCAUGCACUCCCUUCCCCUCGUUCGCCGCCGGUUCCGCCCUGUGGGGCGCGCCAGACGUUAGAGGCCGUGGUGAGUGACUUUCCACUUCCUAGCGAGUCUGCUGGGGAGUUCGUGCAGGCGGACCGGCCUUGCCGGUGGGGUGAGGCAGGAGGCCCUACCCCGACCAGGUUCUCUCGGGAGGAGAUUAUAGCGUUUGGAGGGAUUCAAGAUCCGAUGUCUGAGGGGCGACGGGUGAGUGGCCGUCUCCAGACUCAGCCGGAUGUGGACGACAUUCAGUAGCGGUGCGCCAUGAGGGCGGCCAAGCUCCGUGAUGUUGAGGUCACUACUGGUAUGUCGGUCAAUACUUCUAAUUCCAUUCUGCAUUUUUCUACUGAUGAGAUUGUGGAAAAUGCAAAUCAAUUAGGAGUUUCACUUGGUAGUAAUGAUAUUGAAAUCUCUAUUUCUGUUAAUGAUCUUCUGGAUAUAGAGGCUGAGCGGGCCUUAGACAUGAUUCAUAAUAUAGCGGAGAUUAAGCCCAUGAGUGAUUCUGAGGUUGAUGCUUUAGGGGUCACGGUGCUCGAUAAUUUUUGUGUGGAUCUUAUUCCUCCCAUUCCUGAGGCGGAAAAGGAGGAUGAUGCUUCUGAGAUGGUUAUGGCUAGAAUUCCUGAGACUGGUUGUGAGGACCGGUUGCAGAAUCAAAUUGUCCCUAAACCAAAGUGGAAAUGGAAGGUGUACCCGGUAUCCGCAGUGCGUAGGAGUGCUAGGAUUCGUACGGCUAAAAAAUUCGAUGAUGAACUAUGAAAGGAAUCUUUUGGAAUGGCAGAGGUCUAAAGGACUUGGCUAAAAGAAGGUUUCUUGCUGAGGCGUCUGUCGAGCAUCGAUUAGAUUUUAUUGCUCUAUCGGAGAACGGUAGAGAUAAUUUGGUGCCACAAUUUCUAAAUACUUUGUCGGGAGGUAUUGAUUUUGAUUGGCAUUGCCUGCCACCGAGAGGGAGAUCGGGUGGGAUUUUACUCGGCGUUCGAUGUGAAGCGCUAGAGGUUCAAAGUGUGGUAAUGGGUGACUUUGCAGUCAAGUUUCAGGUACGUUCGAAGGAUGAUGGAUUUGAUUGGGCUUUGGUUGCGGUAUAUGGUGUCGCGCAGCCCGAACUCAAGCCCGAGUUCUUGGUUGAUCACGUUAGGAUUUGCGGCUCCGAGCAGCUUCCUAUCCUGGUGGGGGUGAUUUCAAUAUCAUUAGACGACAUGAGGAUAAGAACAAUGAUAACUUUGACGACAGAUGGUCUUUCAUGUUUAAUACUAUCAUUGAAAGUCUUGACCUGUGAGAGACUGAGCUCUCGGGUAGAAAAUUAAACUGGGCUAACGCGCUGCCAAAUCCGAUGUAUGAGAAGUUGGAUCAAGUGUUGGCUAGUGUCGAUUGGGAACAGAAGUUUCCGUUAGUAACAGUUCAGGCUUUGUCCCGUGGAAUUUCUGAUCACACGCCGUUAUUUGUGGACUCUAGUGAGGCCACCCACCUGGGUAACAAAAACUCGUUCUCCUUUGAGCUGUCUUGGUUUGAACGAGAAGGUUUCUUUGAUCUCGUAGCCAGAGAGUGGGCUAAGGAUUUAGGAGGGAAGACUGCGCUUCAGCGCUGGUAGAAUAAGAUUAGGCAUUUGAGAAGUUUCCUGCGUGGGUGGGCUAAGCAUCUCAGUGGGAUUUAUAAGGUCGAAAAGGAAAGGCUCCUUUCCCUUAUUCAGUCCCUAGAUGUAAAGGCAGAAACCUCGGUGCUGCCGGCUGCGGAGCUUCAUGCCAAGCUUGACGCGGAGAUGAGGCUGAAAGAACUUCUUCGAGAAGAGGAAUUGAAGUGGGCGUUGCGGGCCAAGGUCCGGCGAGUAGUCUAGGGGGAUGCGAACACUCAAUUCUUUCACAUGAUCGCUAAUGGUAAACAUAGAAAGAAGAGGAUCUUUCAGCUUGAGCAAGAUGAAGGAACAAUUUUAGGGCAGAAAAACCUAAAAAUGUACAUUACUGAGUAUUACAAGCAGUUAUUUGGUCCUCUAGAGGAUAACCGUGUGUCUCUGGAUGACUCCAGGGUUGAGGAUGUUCCUCAACUCACAGCGGUGGAGAAUGAUUUUCUAGCGGCUCCUUUUUCUGAGAAAGAGGUGUUUGAGGCCAUAUCGCAAAUGAAAAAUAAAAAGGCGAUGUGCCCCGAUGGAUUUCCAGCGGAAUUUUAUAAAAAGUGCUCACAUAUUAUUAAAGGGGAUCUGUUGCCUUUGUUCAAUGAUCUCUUCUCUGGGCAGCUUCAGCUUUUUCAGCUGAAUUUUGGAACGAUAACCCUCCUUCCUAGAAAACAGAGGCUGUGAGAAUUGAGCAAUUCAGGCCCAUCUGUCUUCUUAAUGUAAGUUUCAAAAUCUUUAUCAAGGUCGGGACUAAUAGGCUCACACAGACCGCGCAUGUUGUGGUGCAGCCUACCCAAACUGCUUUCAUGCCGGACAGGAACAUCCUUGAGGGGGUUGUGGUCCUUCAUGAAAUGCUCCAUGAGAUCCACACGAAAAAGCUAGAUGGGGUUGUUUUCAAAGUGGAUUUCGAGAAAGCGUAUGACAAAGUCAAAUGGCCCUUCCUUCAACAGGCCUUACGCAUGAAGGGUUUUGAUGAAGCAUGGCGACGCCAGGUAGAAUCCUUCACGCAAAAAGGGAGUGUUGGAAUUAAAGUGAAUGACGAUUUAGGUCAUUAUUUCCAGACACACAAAGGCCUGAGGCAAGGUGAUCCAAUGUCUCCUAUUUUGUUCAACAUUGUGGUUGACAUGUUGGCAAUUCUCAUAGGAAGGGCAAAGGAGGCCGGUCAGGUGGGUGGCUUGGUGCCUCAUCUAGUUGAUGGGGGUGUGUCCAUUCUGCAGUACGCUGAUGAUACAAUCAUCUUUAUGGAGCAUGACUUGGCAAAAGCGAGAAAUAUGAAGCUGGUGUUAUGCUUAUUUGAACAAUUGACCGGAUUAAAGAUUAACUUUGAUAAAAGCGAGUUAUUCUGCUUUGGUAGAGCCAAGGAGGAACAAGAGGCUUAUAGGCAAUUGUUUAGAUGUGAAUUAGGGGCUUUACCUUUUACUUACCUAGGUAUACCCAUUCACCAUCGUAAGCUAACAAACAGAGAGUGGAAAUGCAUCGAAGAUCGGUUUGAGAAAAAACUUAAUUGCUGGAAGGGCAAACUCAUGUCUUAUGGAGGCCGAUUGAUUCUUAUCAACUCGAUGCUCACGAGUAUGCCGAUGUUCCUACUAUCUUUCUUCGAAGUUCCAGUUGGGGUUAGGAAAAGGCUGGACUUUUACCGAUCAAGAUUUUUUUGGCAGAGUGAUGAACUAAAGAGGAAGUACCGACUCACCAAAUGGGAUAACAUCUGUCGACCAAAGGACCAAGGGGGUCUGGGCAUUGAGAAUCUUGAGGUCAAGAAUAGAUGCCUUCUCAGUAAGUGGCUGUAUAAGUUAUCAGUUGAGACUGACGCAACAUAGGCACAAAUUCUCCAUAACAAGUAUCUGCAGUCCAAGACUUUGUCACAGGUGACAGUGAGACCAACUGAUUCGCCGUUUUGGAAGGGGCUUAUGAGAGUUAAGGCAGCCUUCUUUAAUAGAACAAAGUUUAUUGUCGGGAAUGGCAACAAUACCCGUUUCUAGGAGGAUACUUGGCUUGGUGAUACGCCAUUAUAUUGGCGUUCCAGUACCCGUCUCUGUAUCGUGUUGUUCAAAGACGUGAUGUGCUAGUUGCAACGAUUAUGCAGUCCAUUCCCCUUAAUAUCCAGUUUCGGAGGGUGCUUGUUGGUGACAGGUGGGAAGCAUGGCUUCAUCUGGUGAGUAGACUGAUGGAGGUUCAGUUAGGUCAUCAGCCCGAUCAAUUGUGUUGGAAACUUACUAGGUCCGGAGAAUUUACGGUUAAAUCAAUGUAUAUAGAUGUCAUUAACUCUAGUGUCAUUCCUAGUUCCAAACAUGUUUGGAAAGUAAAAGUCCUUUGAAGAUUAAAGUGUUUAUGUGGUUUGUACAUAAACAAGUCAUCUUAACAAAGGACAACUUGGUUAAGCGCAAUUGGACAGGAUCUACUAGGUGUAGUUUCUGUGAUCGGGACGAGACCAUUAAGCACCUCUUCUUUGAGUGCCCGUUGGCGAGAGUUUUGUGGCGCACUGUGCAAAUUGCCUUUAACAUUACUCCUCCAAAUUCGGUCGGUACGUUAUUUGGAACGUGGCUUGUUGGGAUAGAGUCCGAUACAGCUAGACACAUUCGUGUAGGAGUAUGUGCAUUGUUAUGGGCAAUUUGGAACUGCAGAAAUGAUUUGGCUUUUAACAGAACAACAACUAUUCAUUUUUUGCAGGUUUUAUUCCGGGCUACGGCGCUGAUCCGCAUGUGGUCCUUACUCACUCCGACGAAGGCCAGGGAGCGUUUGGUUACUGGAUCUGUCCGGUGGGAGAUGGUGGCGCGGGAUAUCUUCAACCGGUUUGGAUGGCGGUUAUGUAAUAGGAUAGGCGAUUAGUUUUCCUAUCUUUGUUUAGCCAGCCGGUUGUGGCUCUGUGGCAUUUUUUGUCUUUGGCGUUGAGGCUCUCUGUGAGCUAGCCUUUAUUUUCUUUUCCAUACUUUGAUACCUUGUUGAACCUAUUUUAUUUAUAAAUAUGGUCGUAUGCAUCGUUCUAAUGCAGAGGCCGGGGAGUCCCCCCUUUUAAAAAAAAAACAUGGGCAUACCCCGGUGCUAGAGUGUGCAUGCAAAAGACCAAACAAUAAAUAUAUUUGUAUGCCUAUAUUAUAAUCCUUUUGUCUGAAAUAUAAAGUGUUCUUUCAAAAGUCAAACAUCUUUUACCAGUGACUAGGAUGGAACCUAGGUAAAUCAAGUUCUGAGGCCCUGUUUGGUUCAUAAGUCCUGGGACUUUUUCUAGUCCCAACUAAAAAGUCCCUAGUCCCUAAAAAGUCCCUCCCUGUUUGUUUCCAUAGACUAAAAAGUCCCUAGUCCCUUCCUAGAGGUUAUUAAAUGACCAUAUUGCCCCUAGUAUAUAGAAAAAUAACAAUCAAACAACACCAUGGGGUGGCGGGCCAAUGAAUGCAUGGAGGGGCAUUGUUGGAAAAGUCCCAAAAAGUCCCAAAAAGACUCUCCUUGAGAGUCUUCUUCAUUUAGUCCCAAAUGCCUAGUUUAGUCCCUAAAAAGUCCCUCCCGUUUGAUAAAAAAGUCUCUAAGAAAGACUUUUUCUAGUCCCUACACAAAAAAGUCCAUGAAAACAAACACCCCCUGAGACCCCUCGGACAUAAGGUGACAUCCCAUGACUACAUAAAUGCCGUAGAACUACCAUACCACUUGUGAGGCACCGAUGAAAUUAGCCUAGAAACGCCAUCCCUUUGUAAAAUGAAAAAAAAAAUAGUUCCAACACAUAAAUGUAAAUCACCGACUGUCAUUUUUCAGUGUCAAUGUCAAUAGUCGUGCAAGACCUCAAAGCUUUCAGUUGGGUAUAGUGGUGUUUGCAAUUUCGAUUUUCGAGCAAACUCAGGUCCUUAUUAGUUAUACAAACUAAUGUGUUCAUCUAAGAAAAUUUAGGGUUUUGGCGGGUCUAGAACGAUAGUCUGUUCCUCACAUUAAAGUCUGAAACAGCUAGCCAGUGGCUCACAUCAUAGGGAAAGCAAAACCUUAGGAGCUUAGGUCUCAUAGGUAGUCACUACAGCCAUGUACUGUUUGUACCGUCUAACAGUCCAUAUGCGCCUAUGAAUGCGCAGAUCGCAAAGGUCCAUAUCUAGAACGGUCAUUUGUUCGUCCAAGGAAAGUUUGAAACAACUAGCCAAUGCCACACAACAUAGCUAAAGGAAAACCAUAAGAGCACAAGGUAAUACGAAGGUAAACUCUUGAUGAAAAUAUGAAUGAAAUUGCAUCUGAUGUCUUUUGAUCACAUGGCGAUCAAAUUAUGCAUCACACAGUAAUAUUUUUACAAUAAUCCCGCAUCGGGAGAUUUGACCCCUUAUUACAAAAUUGACAUCCAGCCAUCCAGCGUUCACUACUGCUGGAAAAUAACGAGCAGGUGCAUGCUCCAUGGCAUUCACAUCGAUGGAUCAGUCCCACGGUAUAUUUGAUAUGAUAUAUGUACCAUGUAUGUGUCUGUAGAAGUUGAGCGAUGGGUGGCGAGAUUAAUUUAC
This 17273-nucleotide long non-coding RNA is filed under the name Triticum aestivum (bread wheat). RNAcentral describes it as "long non-coding RNA (TAES_LNC016787)". The record is from RNAcentral. Lineage: Eukaryota; Viridiplantae; Streptophyta; Magnoliopsida; Poales; Poaceae.